GGACGAACGCUGGCGGCGUGGAUUAGGCAUGCAAGUCGGACGGUAGGGCUUUAUCGUAAGAUAGAGUUUGAGAGUGGCGAACGGGUGAGUAACACGUAGGAAUCUACCCUUAAGACGGGGACAACCCAGGGAAACUUGGGCUAAUACCGGAUGAGAGUGCGAGAGAUUGCAUUUAAAAGGAUGGCGAAAGUUGUCGCUUAGGGAUGAGCCUGCGGUCUAUUAGUUAGUUGGUGAGGUAAGAGCUCACCAAGGCGAUGAUAGAUAGGCGGCCUUAACGGGUGGUCGCCCACACUGGGAUUGAGAUACGGCCCAGACUCCUACGGGAGGCAGCAGUCGAGAAUAGUCUACAAUGGCCGGAAGGCUGAUAGUGCGACGCCGCGUGAACGAGGGAGCCCUUCGGGGUGUAAAGUUCUUUUCUAUACGAGCAGUGCUAUAUAUAUGGAUAGUAUAUAUAGAGGGAUAGUAGUAUAGGAAUAAGCAACGGCUAACUCCGUGCCAGCAGCCGCGGUAACACGGGGGUUGCGAGCGUUGUCCGGAAUUACUAGGCGUAAAGGGCAGGUAGGCGGAUCUACGAGUUUUUUGUUAAAGGCUACGGCUCAACUGUAGUAGAGCAGGAGAUACUGUAGGUCUGGAAUGCGGUAGGGGAAGACAGAAUUCCUGGUGUAGCGGUGGAAUGCGCAGAGAUCAGGAGGAAUACCGAAGGCGAAGGCAGUCUUCUAGGCCGUAAUUGACGCUUAACUGCGAAGGUGUGGGGAUCAAACAGGAUUAGAUACCCUGGUAGUCCACACAGUAAACGAUAAUCACUAGAUGUCGGAUUCUAGAUGGAUUCGGUGUCGGAGCUAACGCGAUAAGUGAUUCGCCUGGGGAGUACGAUCGCAAGGUUGAAACUCAAAGGAAUUGACGGGGGCCCGCACAAGCGGUGGAGCAUGUGGUUUAAUUCGAUGCAACGCGAAGAACCUUACCAGGGUUUGACAUCCCCUGACAGGCAUGGAAACAUGUCCUCGUCCUUCGGGGCGCAGGGAGACAGGUGGUGCAUGGCUGUCGUCAGCUCGUGUCGUGAGAUGUUGGGUUAAGUCCCGCAACGAGCGCAACCCCUGCCUUCAGUUACCAUCAUUAAGUUGGGGACUCUGGAGGGACCGCUGCGGUAACAACGCAGAGGAAGAUGGGGACGACGUCAAGUCAUCAUGGUCCUUAUGGCCGGGGCUACACACGUGCUACAAUGGCAGUUACAGAGGGAAGCAAGACAGUAAUGUGGAGCGAAACUCAGAAAAGCUGUCGCAGUUCGGAUUGAGGUCUGCAACUCGGCCUCAUGAAGUUGGAAUCGCUAGUAAUCGCGCAACAUCAUGGCGCGGUGAAUACGUUCCCGGGCCU
Molecule: ribosomal RNA, 1371 nt
Filed under: uncultured bacterium
Lineage: Bacteria
Description: bacterial SSU rRNA
Rfam family: Bacterial small subunit ribosomal RNA
Source: RNAcentral